AUGGCUGGAGAGCCCGGGCCGGGCCCUGCGCACCCGGGCCUCAAGCGGCCUCAGGGCACUGCCAGCCCCUGUACGAGUGAUUAUGACCUGGACCAUAAGCUGUACAGGGAAAAUGUCCCCUACAGUAGGGUGUAUGAAUACCAAAGGAUCCCUCCACUCAUCAACCGCGUGCCUGUCAGGAUCCGGAGGACCCAGGUGGGCAUGGGGGUCAAAAGCAGCUUCCGUCUUCACACGGGCCCCAGGAAGAGCCACCUGCCCCGGGAGCAAAUAAAGCUCCCGACUGAGGAGCUGCACUCCAUCAGGGGGGAGCUGAGUCAGAUCAAAGCCCAAGUGGACCGUCUAUUGGAGAAUCUGGAGCACAUGGGCCAGCAGAGGGACCAGCUUCCAACUGGGGGCCCGGGACACACUCCCAGGUCAGAGGACAGUGAAGAAAACAGAGGUCCAGAACUCCAGCAGGAGCCCCAGGGCCAGAAGGCCCAUCCAGAAGCAGACAGCUCUGAGGACAGCACAGACCCAAAGGAGGCAGUGAGUGGCCUGGCACCUCCCCCAUCCUCACCCUCCUUGCGUUUGGGUCCUUGUGGCUUCCCUGUGAACAAGGGAGAGACUCAGGUUUGUGCAGGAGCCCACAGUGGUGGCUGAGGGGACACAGGACUUCUGCCACAUGCAAUUCCCAGAAGAUGGCCCUGCACUGCUUUUUAUUCCCUCUCAUCUCGGGCUUGACGGCUCAGCUGGACUAGGGGCUAGUUCUGGGCUGAAAUACAAUCAUGUCCUGGAAGCUGGGAGGCGGGCUUUGAGCACUGCAGAAUGUCACAGGUGUGCCUCAUGGUCCCAGACCCCUUGCCAGAGGCCCCAGAAUCGGUUAAAACUGGCCUUUUUCCUGGCCCUGCUCCCACACAUUGUGGUGUACCAUGCUCCCCAGGGAAGCUGGAGCUCAUGGACCUUCCUGGACGGAAAACAUCCAAACCAGGAUGUGAUGGUCUGAUGAUAGCCCUUUGGGUAGCAUUCAAGGGCCCCAGUGUUCCCUGCCCUACCACAUUCUCCUCCCUUCUUGAUAAUCCGUGAGGUGGGCCAAGCCCCAUGUGUUUGGGCCACCUCUGCAAGGUCCAGGAUGCUGAGGGGCUGGCAGGAACAAGCUUCCCUUCCUCCACCUGUCUGGCUCCGCCCCCUGGACUGCUGGGCUCCGCAAAGUCCUUACUGCUGUCCAGGCCUGAGUCACAUCUGGGAAAAUAUUGGGCUGGAUGAAGGGACUGCUUUGGUGGUUCUGGGUUCCCAGGCCUCAGGAAGAAUCUAGAGUAGCACUGAGCGGGCAAACCUGCCGAGAAAGAGACACGGGGUUGAGGGGAGAUGUUGGCAGACAGGCUUCCCUUUCCUAGCCAUGCCAUGCCUCUCGGCCCUCCUGGCCAGAGUCCUGUUUCUCUAUUUCCUACAGGUGAAGAAUCCUGCAUCGGACCAGGAGGGCAGCCAGUAGAAUGGUGGAACCCCUCUGGGCUCCUUCCUGGAUGGCUCCCUUCCUUGCCUCGUGUGGGUUUUUGAAGGCCUCCUGGAGGUGCCUGUGCAGCCCGAAGCCACCCUUCUGGAAGGAGUGCAGUGAAGUGGGGGCCUGGCUCAGCCAAACUAGCCAUGAAGCUUCUCCGUAAUGGUGGCUUUUGGAGGUCACGUUUUCCGAUGAUACGGGCUGAGGGUGGCCUGCAGCUGCCUAGCAUAAGCCUCCCAUCCUCAUGAAGCUGAGGCCGUCUUGCAAGGGGCCCCAGGUCCCCCUGGGUACACAUCAGCCCCCAGUGACCACAGGUACCGUAGUGGCUGCUCCCCACUCCGAAGGGCCCUGCCAGUUCUGAGUAGGCAGCCAGCACAGUUCCCUCCAGCCACAGUGGCAUACCGGAAACCCUCAUGUUCCUACGGUCCCCCUUCCAGUCUGCACCUGGGCUUUCAGCUCCUCAGUGUGCCCCACAUAAUCCCCUUUGGUUCCAGACUCCCCAUCCACCCUGUAAAGCCAUCCUUCAGAAUAGGGACAUCAUUUUUAUGUUCUGCUCCUGUCUAGUCUCUUGCUAGUGUGAUACUAUGUGUUUCAGAUCUGCUCUGGAAAUAGUAUUGUAUCAAAAGGGAGAAAAUGGGGAUCCCUGGGUGGCGCAGCGGUUUGGCGCCUGCCUUUGGCCCAGGGCGCGAUCCCGGAGACCCGGGAUCGAAUCCCACAUCGGGUUCCCGGUGCAUGGAGCCUGCUUCUCCCUCUGCCUGUGUCUCUGCCUCUCUCUCUCUCUCUGUGACUAUCAUAAAUAAAUAAAAAUUAAAAAAAAAAAAAAAAAAAAAAAAAAAACAAAAGGGAGAAAAUGCACAACAUUUUCCCCCCUUUUGGGGGUCAGGGGUUCUUGGUAGGGUCAUCAAGCCUCAUUCUGGUCUUUGGGCUGCCUCAGGCCAGGCCUUCCUGGAGAAGCUGAGCAGGCCCCUGCAUCACAGAAGUUCAGCAGUUCCUACUCAGCCAGGGCACAGAAGAGGGGACCAGGCUUCCCUGCCUUCUUCCAAUUCAGACCUGAGCACAAACCCACAGAGCUCAUGAGCCACAUAGGGAAGAUCCUGCUCUUGUGGUCACUCAGGCCAGUUCUCCAUAUGGAAUGAUGGCCAGGCCACAUCUGACUUCCCAACAACCAGCAGCUCUUACUCCUGGAAGUUCAUCUGCCCUUUCCCAGGAGGCAAGACUGGACCAGGGGCACCAAAUAAUAAAGCCAACCUGGUGCAGCACCUGGGCUCAGUCGGUUAGGCAUCAGAUUCUGAUUUUGGCUCAGGUCAUGAUCUCAGGAUCAUGAGAUCAAGCCCAGCAUCAGGCUCUGCGCUCAACAUGGAGUCUGUGUGGAAUUUUCUCUCUUCUUCCCCACUGUCAACCCCCUUGCAUGCCUCUAAAUUAAAAAAAAAAAAAAAAAAAAAAAAGGCAGCCUGGACCCCUACUUCUUAGCAGCAGUGGGGGAGGCCUCUAGCUUCCACCCAGAGCCAAACCCCUUCCACCUACCCAAACCUGAGCUGUGGUCUUGCCCAGCACCAAACCAGAGGCCACAGAGUACACCCAGAGUGCUCCUGGGCCCACACAACCUUCCCUACUGUUGUCACCUUGGCAAUGGCCAACUCUGCUACUCUAGGGGCACCUUCACCUCCUUCAAAGCACAUUUCCCCACACCAACUCCUGCACCUCCUUUAGUUUCAGCCAGUCUUUUCUGCUUAUGUUGGUCUAAGGAACAGGACACAUUUAAGACAAUGCUGUCCCCAACCCCUUGACACCAGGAGUCGACUACAGGGCACAAAAGAACCUUGUUCUUUUAAAUUCACUACCGAGAUGAACCACGAUAGACUUUUCCAGAUAUAGAGGAGUUUGUUUUAGCUCAGAUAUAAAUGAGAAGGCACAGCCCCCUUGUCCAUUCUCUCAAAAGCAGCCCAAGUCUAUAGAAGGGAGUCACUAGCUGGCCUGCACAGGGUCCAUCCCUUACAACAGUUCCAAGUCCCGUCCUCCAGAUGAGUCCAGCUGAAGUCCUUCCCAACCUGGGAGGCAAGCUGCAUUCGCAAGUUUCUUCACCUGGGUCGUAGCUGGGAAGCACCUGCUCAAGUAGAAACGUUUCUUUAACAGAAGUCUCUAAAGAGCCGUCCCAACACAGCCGUCCGACGCUGUGCACGCCCCGUCGGAUCCUCUCCCGCCCGGAGUUCUCCGCGCCGCGCAGUCUGGCAGCGGACGGCAAGGGUCCUUCGGGGGACGGGGGCAGCUCGGUCCUCGGCGUCCG
RNAcentral lists this long non-coding RNA (3758 nucleotides) under Canis lupus familiaris (dog). RNAcentral's name for it is "lncRNA (ENSCAFG00030002971.1)". Lineage: Eukaryota; Metazoa; Chordata; Mammalia; Carnivora; Canidae. The record is from RNAcentral.